This 1131-nucleotide long non-coding RNA is filed under the name Zostera marina. Its description in RNAcentral is "long non-coding RNA (ZMAR_LNC002174)". Lineage: Eukaryota; Viridiplantae; Streptophyta; Magnoliopsida; Alismatales; Zosteraceae. The record is from RNAcentral.
ACUUCUCAUUUCCCCAAUCUCAACUCAAGCAGAUCGUGUUUUUCUCCCACUCCCAUCUCCGGCGAUUCCUACUUCGAUUUCUGACGAGCAACCAGCGGCGCGUCUGUACCGGCGAGCGGCGACCAGCGGCUAGUUAACACUCCAGUCCGGCAACAAAAGCUAGCGUCUAGUUCAUACUCGAUUCCUACUUUUGGGUAAUUUCUCCCACAACCAGCGGCACGUCUGUACCGGCUUUCUAUUUUUUCUGGUGGCUUCCUAUUUUUUUCUUAGCAUAGAUUGAAUUUCUUUAUUUUCUGACUUCGUUAAAAGUGAGAUCAAAGAAAUUCAUUGUCCAACUUGCAAACCUUUUUGGUUCUUUCAUUGAGUUAUUCCUAACUUGCUAACCCUUGUAGUUCUUUCAUCGAGUUAUUCCCAACUUGCUACUUUGGACCCCAACUGAUGAAGAAUUCUCCAUCGUGAAGCAGUUGUGCGAGUUUGUAUGCAUAUUGAAGUUUCCUAAGGUGGCAAAUUUUGAGAAACUACCUUAUCCAUUCUUCAUUAAAAUAAAUGGAAAAUAACAUUUGCAUAAUUGCAUAAUUAGCAGAACCCCACAGAUUGUAUAAUUGCAUAAAUGGAAAAUAACAUUUGAUUUAAUUAGCAGAACCCCACAGAUGAGAAUAAAUGUUCUGUAACAUUUUUUUUAUUUUCUGAAUUAUUUAUUAGCAAAUCUAUGGAUUUGAUUUUAAAUAUUACUCUUUAAAGGAUGCUUGACAUAAGAAACUUCAAGUAUCCUUCCAACACUUUGAUGUGAUCACAAUUUUCCAUCUAGAAAGAUGGUAGAUAAGAUUUUUGCCGAUUUAUUGAUAGAGAACUCGAAACAGUCUUAUCAAUUAGGGGAUUCAUUUUUGCAUUUGAUAAAAUCUAAAUUAUUUGCUUUCAAAAAAAAAUCUGAAUUCUUAAACAAUGACCAACUUAUUAAUUAUGUUUUUAUUUUAUAAAAUAGAUGUUUUAUAUAAAUCAUUUACUGGUUUACCGAUAUUUGAUUACAUAUAUGAUAUAUCUGAUCACAAAUAUAUCUGAUUACUCCAGUCCGGCCACUCCAGUUCGGCAACUUCCAGUCCUUUGGUAACACUCCAGUCCGGCAACUUCCAG